Molecule: ribosomal RNA, 1285 nt
Filed under: unidentified
Description: bacterial SSU rRNA
Rfam family: Bacterial small subunit ribosomal RNA
Source: RNAcentral
UGAUUAGUAGCAAUACUAAUCGAUGACGAGCGGCGGACGGGUGAGUAAUACGUAGGAACCUGCCCUUAAGCGGGGGAUAACUAAGGGAAACUUUAGCUAAUACCGCAUAAACUCGAGAGAGAAAAGCUGCAGCAAUGUGGCACUUGAGGAGGGGCCUGCGUCAGAUUAGCUAGUUGGUGAGGUAAUAGCUCACCAAGGCGAUGAUCUGUAACUGGUCUGAGAGGACGACCAGUCACACUGGGACUGAGACACGGCCCAGACUCCUACGGGAGGCAGCAGUGGGGAAUAUUGGACAAUGGGGGCAACCCUGAUCCAGCGAUGCCGCGUGGGUGAAGAAGGCCUUCGGGUUGUAAAGCCCUUUAGGUCGGGAAGAAGGUUAGUAGAGGAAAUGCUAUUAACUUGACGGUACCGACAGAAUAAGCACCGGCAAACUCUGUGCCAGCAGCCGCGGUAAUACAGAGGGUGCGAGCGUUAAUCGGAUUUACUGGGCGUAAAGGGCGCGUAGGCGGUGAGAUGUGUGUGAUGUGAAAGCCCCAGGCUCAACCUGGGAAGUGCAUCGCAAACUGUCUGACUGGAGUAUAUGAGAGGGUGGCGGAAUUUCCGGUGUAGCGGUGAAAUGCGUAGAGAUCGGAAGGAACGUCGAUGGCGAAGGCAGCCACCUGGCAUAAUACUGACGCUGAGGCGCGAAAGCGUGGGGAUCGAACAGGAUUAGAUACCCUGGUAGUCCACGCUGUAAACUAUGAGUACUAGAUGUUGGUAGGGGAACCUAUCGGUAUCGAAGCUAACGCGAUAAGUAUUCCGCCUGGGAAGUACGGCCGCAAGGUUGAAACUCAAAUGAAUUGACGGGGGCCCGCACAAGCGGUGGAGCAUGUGGUUUAAUUCGAUGCAACGCGAAGAACCUUACCUACCCUUGACAUCCUGAGAAUCUGGCUUAGUAGCUGGAGUGCCGAAAGGAGCUCAGAGACAGGUGCUGCAUGGCUGUCGUCAGCUCGUGUUGUGAGAUGUUGGGUUAAGUCCCGUAACGAGCGCAACCCUUGCCCUUAGUUGCCAUCAUUUAGUUGGGGACUCUAAGGGGACCGCCAGUGAUGAACUGGAGGAAGGCGGGGACGACGUCAAGUCAUCAUGGCCUUUAUGGGUAGGGCCACACACGUGCUACAAUGGGGCGUACGGAGGGUCGCAAACCCGCGAGGGGGAGCUAAUCUCAUAAAGCGUCUCGUAGUCCGGAUUGGAGUCUGCAACUCGACUCCAUGAAGUUGGAAUCGCUAGUAAUCGCGAAUCAGCAUUG